This 20-nucleotide ribosomal RNA is filed under the name Briareum asbestinum (deadman's fingers). RNAcentral's name for it is "partial 18S ribosomal RNA". Lineage: Eukaryota; Metazoa; Cnidaria; Anthozoa; Scleralcyonacea; Briareidae. The record is from RNAcentral.
AACCUUCGGAAGMAUCAUCA